GACGAACGCUGGCGGCGUGCUUAACACAUGCAAGUCGAACGAUGAAACCCGCUUCGGUGGGUGGAAGAGUGGCGGACGGGUGAGUAACGCGUGAGCGACCUGCCCUAAAGAGGGGGACAACACCGGGAAACUGGUGCUAAUACCGCAUAAGCCCACGGUAUCGCAUGGUACAGGGGGAAAAGGAGAAAUCCGCUUUAGGAGGGGCUCGCGUCCCAUUAGGUAGAUGGUGAGGUAACGGCUCACCAUGCCAACGAUGGGUAGCCGGACUGAGAGGUUGAACGGCCACACUGGAACUGAGACACGGUCCAGACUCCUACGGGAGGCAGCAGUGGGGAAUAUUGGGCAAUGGGCGAAAGCCUGACCCAGCAACGCCGCGUGAAGGAAGAAGGUUUUCGGAUUGUAAACUUCUGUCCCAGGGGAAGAAGGAAGUGACGGUACCCUGGGAGGAAGCCCCGGCUAACUACGUGCCAGCAGCCGCGGUAAUACGUAGGGGGCGAGCGUUGUCCGGAAUUACUGGGCGUAAAGGGUGCGUAGGCGGUCCUUUAAGUCAGAUGUGAAAAGCCCGUGCUUAACAUGGGAGGUGCAUUUGAAACUGGAGGACUUGAGUGUGGGAGAGGCAAGCGGAAUUCCCGGUGUAGCGGUGAAAUGCGUAGAGAUCGGGAGGAACACCAGUGGCGAAGGCGGCUUGCUGGACCAAGACUGACGCUGAGGCACGAAAGCGUGGGGAGCAAACAGGAUUAGAUACCCUGGUAGUCCACGCCGUAAACGAUGGAUACUAGGUGUAGGGGGUAACAACCUUCUGUGCCGGAGCAAACGCAAUAAGUAUCCCGCCUGGGGAGUACGAUCGCAAGAUUGAAACUCAAAGGAAUUGACGGGGGCCCGCACAAGCAGCGGAGCAUGUGGUUUAAUUCGAAGCAACGCGAAGAACCUUACCAAGGCUUGACAUCCCUUGACAACUCUGGAAACAGAGCAUCCCUUCGGGGCAAGGAGACAGGUGGUGCAUGGUUGUCGUCAGCUCGUGUCGUGAGAUGUUGGGUUAAGUCCCGCAACGAGCGCAACCCUUACAUUUAGUUACCAGCGGGUAAAGCCGGGGACUCUGGAUGGACUGCCGGGGACAACUCGGAGGAAGGUGGGGACGACGUCAAAUCAUCAUGCCCCUUACGUCUUGGGCUACACACGUGCUACAAUGGCCGUAACAAAGGGAAGCGAAACCGUAAGGUGGAGCGAAACCCAGAAAAGCGGUCCCAGUUCGGAUUGUGGGCUGCAACCCGCCCACAUGAAGUCGGAGUUGCUAGUAAUCGCGAAUCAGCAUGUCGCGGUGAAUGCGUUCCCGGGCCUUGUACACACCGCCCGUCACACCAUGGGAGUUGGGAGCGCCCGAAGUCGGUGAGCUAACCGUAAGGAGGCAGCCGCCGAAGGUGAGAUCAAUGACUGGGGUG
Molecule: ribosomal RNA, 1439 nt
Filed under: uncultured Bacillota bacterium
Lineage: Bacteria; Bacillati; Bacillota
Description: bacterial SSU rRNA
Rfam family: Bacterial small subunit ribosomal RNA
Source: RNAcentral